This 253-nucleotide ribosomal RNA is filed under the name uncultured bacterium. RNAcentral's name for it is "partial 16S ribosomal RNA". It matches the Rfam family "Bacterial small subunit ribosomal RNA", at positions 524 to 776 of the family's 1533-position model. The record is from RNAcentral.
UACGUAGGGGGCAAGCGUUGUCCGGAAUUAUUGGGCGUAAAGAGCUCGUAGGCGGUUUGUCGCGUCUGCUGUGAAAACUCGAGGCUCAACCUCGGGCUUGCAGUGGGUACGGGCAGACUAGAGUGCGGUAGGGGUGACUGGAAUUCCUGGUGUAGCGGUGGAAUGCGCAGAUAUCAGGAGGAACACCGAUGGCGAAGGCAGGUCACUGGGCCGCAACUGACGCUGAGGAGCGAAAGCGUGGGGAGCAAACAGG